This 253-nucleotide ribosomal RNA is filed under the name uncultured bacterium. RNAcentral's name for it is "partial 16S ribosomal RNA". It matches the Rfam family "Bacterial small subunit ribosomal RNA", at positions 524 to 776 of the family's 1533-position model. The record is from RNAcentral.
UACGAGAGGCCCAAACGUUGUUCGGAUUUACUGGGCGUAAAGGGCGCGUAGGCGGCUUAACAAGUCACUUGUGAAAUCUCCGGGCUUAACUCGGAACGGCCAAGUGAAACUGUCAAGCUAGAGUGCAGAAGGGGCAAUCGGAAUUCUUGGUGUAGCGGUGAAAUGCGUAGAUAUCAAGAGGAACACCUGAGGUGAAGACGGGUUGCUGGGCUGACACUGACGCUGAGGCGCGAAAGCCAGGGGAGCAAACGGG